AAUUGUUAAAUAAAAGUUGAAGGCACCUGGGUACUAAUCUACUUUCAGCUUUUUUGUAUUUAAAAUAAUUUUUAAAACAAGAACAUGAAGGGAAAAAUAAAUUCAAUUAUAGCCUCCGCCUUCUGAUGCUCAUAUUCCUUAUUCUCAUUUCCACUUAAUUUUUCCCAUAUGAAUUAUCUACCAUUUUUUACCAUACGUGUUAUCAGUGCUUUUUAACUGGUCUAUAGUGAUGGACCCAAUUUUUUAAUUUUUCUUCAGUUUAUCGUAGAUUGAUAUUUUUGCAAAAUACAAUGAGGUGCAAUAAAAAUGAAAUAAAAUGGUACGCCAAAUUCAAGCUCUUCCUUAUCUCUGCUAAUGAGAAACUAUUAGAAUAUUCCAAGUGGUAGAUGAUAGUGUUUUGGACCAGUGUAGUGGUAGCAAAAGUAAUAAGAAUGGGUGAGAUUCUAAAUAUAUUUUGAAGGCAAAUCUGGUUGGAUUUACUGAUGGAUUGGCUGUAGCAUUUACAAGAAAGAGAAAAAAAUGACUCCAAGUUUUUGGGUGUGAACAACCGAAAGGUUGCAGUUGCAAUUAAUUAAGAAAGACUAAGAUAGCAACAGGUUUAGCAGGGAAAUGUAUGAGCUCAAUUAUAAACUUACUAUGUUUGAGAUGCCCUCUAGACACUCAAAUGGAAAUGUUGAUCCUGAAGUUUCAUAUGUGAGUCUGGAGUUGGAGAGAGGUCUGAGUUAGAGAUAGAAAUUUGGUAGUGGUCAAUCUAUAAAAGGUGUUUUAAGCCUUGAGCUUGGGUGACUGAUGAGUCAGUAAUAAUAACUGCAGAACCUAUGUAUGACUCAUAGUUAGUGAACCAGAAUCUAUUCUAAACAUUUUUCUAAGUAUAUGUUAAUUUCAUUAUUUCACACAAUUAAAUAAAAUUGGUACAGUUACCUCCAUUUUAUAGAUGGAAAACCAAGGCCCAAAAUGUUGGCAGGCUGGCUCAGGAUUAUAUGGAGAAUAUCAAGAGAAUAAGUAUAAAUAGAAAAGAGGAUAAUUCUGAGUACUGAGUACUAGGGUACAUAAAAAUUAAAGAGUAGAUGUCUAAAAGAAAAAAAAGACAGCUAAGUAUAAUGACCUGGAAGUUAAGUGAGGAAUAUUUGUCAGUGUGGAAGAAGUAAAUACUUCAGGAUGAAAAGAAGAAAGGAAAAAAUGGAUAACAAAUAGUGUAAGAGUGAUUUGCUUUAGUGAUGUUCCUAAGUAUGCAAAAAGGAAACAACAAAUGACCUUAAAUAUUGUAAACUACAAAUGCAAAUUUAAUGUAUUUGACUGUUACAAGCAGUUAAAUUUUUGACAUGGUGUAUAUACAAUUCUCAUACUAAAAUUAUAUAUAUUUAGUAAAUUAAGUAUUGUUAAAUAUUGUGCACUUGUGCAUGAAGGAAGGAGUAAGAACUAAACUAAAUCAUAUUCUCAUAUAUUUCAAAUAGAAAAUCUCAUAUAUUUCAAGUUAAAUUCUCUAAACUUAAUUAUAAAUUUCUGACAAGCACACUGGAUCCGUAAAUUUAAUGUGCUUAAUAUUUUUAUAAAUGAGAGGCAUUUAAAAUGUCAGAAGCGUUUAAAAUAUUAAACACUCAUAUUUAUCUAAUAAUUAUGCAACUUGUUCCUAAACACAACAUAGUAUAAUUAAUUCUGUAUAAUUAUGUAGUUAUUAGGUAAAUACGUAAUAGACAUAUGUGUUUGUGUGUUAUACUUCAUGUUUCCUAUUAUAUAUUAUCUAUUUAUGUAUUAGGUACUUUAAUAUAUAUCUUCCUUUGGUAUAGUCAUUUAUAUCAAAUUGAGGAAAGUGAAAGUCAAAAGACAAGGCAUGGAUAUGAUGACUGCAUAUGAAUAAGAUGAAUUUCUGCCUCAAAAUUGGAAGCUGGAUGCUAAAUACUUGCAGAAAUAUUCUCAAGACAGUGCGGAACAUGUUGAACUGCUUCUUCAACUUCAGCUUUGUCUGCUGUAUUCAUGUUGGACAAUAUCCUGAGCCUUUCAUUUACUUCAAAAAUCCAGUGUCCCACAUUCCAUGGGCAUCUUCCAAGUAUUAACCUUAGCCAAUUAUUUUAUAAUCUUUUUCAUAAUGCUUGAUCUGAAUAGAUGAUAUUCCCUACUGUAAUCCAGCUUGCAAAUAUUUUCCUUCACUUCUGGAUUUUAUUCAAUUUAUUAUGGCUUGUUUGGCUUCUGAAGUUUUUCCUCUAUUUUUUUUCCUAUGUCUGACUUCUCAUGACAGAUUUAGAGUUGUUUUAUUGUGUGAGGACAAGCUUUUUUACAUAGAAAAACACAGAAAAAAGGAAGUAGACAGUGAGGAAAGAAGAAAGAAUAUUGUAUAGAAAGAGAAUAGCUAUACAGUUUAAGGAUUAUGUUAGCAAAGAGUUUAAAAUAUAGGUGAAUAGGAAAAUAAAGUCGUAUUUCAUCACAAGAUAGAGGGAUAUUCCUUGGAAAAAAUCAUUUUUCUGUUUCACCAAAGUUUGGUCAUUUGGUCUUUAAUCUUUGUCCUUCUUCAGAGUCAUGUGGCAACACUUCUCUCCCUUCUGCUGUAGCUGAUGCUUGUCUAGCCUUCUCUGGGCAGAGGCAAGGUCCUGUUUUCCUCCCUCUAUUUUCUUUGUAAUUUUUGAUCAGGCAUGAACUUGUUGCUUUUUUCCUUUUGUGGUGGACCCUUUUGACUGUCAGAAGCUCAGUGUCACAACUCAGUUUUGAAGCAUAUAUAUAUAAAGAGAGAGAGACUUUUUUUUGAAGCCCUGCUACAGUAGGUGAAUACUUGCAGAGGAAAAUAGAUGCCUAAUGGAAAAGAUUGAUGAAUUUCUGCGCAGAAAACAUGCAAAAUAUUAAUUUCAAGAUAUAACUCAGUACUUUAACAAAAAUAAGAAGUAGACACUGGGAAAUAGGAUAAUUCAAUUUUGCUAAUUUCCUUUAGGGAAAAAUCAAGCUAUUACACUUUUGUUUUACACUUUAAUAAUUAUAGAAAUGUUGUUUUCAUUUGUAUUCCUAAAGUGUUAAGAUAGCUAUUAAUAAAACUAAAUUUUACGUCAAAGAUAGUGUUAAAAAGGAGACAACAAUGUACAAAAAUAAUACCUUAAAAAGAGAAAGAGAAAUGAAUUAUUUGAAAUAUACCAAUAUGCAACAGAUGCACAUUAGUUAGGAUGUGUGGUUAAACUUAAGGCUGUAGAUUAGGUUAAAACCAAAGUCCAACAAUAUGUUUCUUAAAAGAAAUGUGCAACUAAUUUAAAAAGAGAUUUAAUAAUGAAAAAAACAAACUAAGAUAAAUUAGGGUAAAGAUAAAGUAAAAUAAAUGAUGGCAAUUUAUUUCUGUAAAAUUAAAUUUUGAGACAUCAAUCUCUUUGAUAAAAGGAACAACUAAUGGAACAAUUCAUAGUCACAAACUUCUAUGCCAUUUGUUAACAAAGUACCAAAUAUAUAAAACAAAAUCUGUUCAAGUGUAUAGAGAAUUUGUGAGGGGUACAAUUUUUCCAUGUUUUAACAUUCAUAAUUGAUUAUGCAAGUGAAAUAAAUUGUUCAAAAUAUAAUAAUGAAGUUGAUGUAAAAAUAUGUAUUUAUUCAUUCUGAAAACAUUUAGUGAGGGCUUACUGUGUGUCAGACAUUCUUUCAGAUGCCAGAGGAUGCUAUAGAAAAAUGCGUGCCCUCUUGUAAUACUUUGUUCAAGUUCUGAUCAGAAGGAUGAAUGAUGGAGCCCAAGAAGCCAGAGUCUCAUUGUGUUGCUCAGGCUGGAAUCCAGUGGCAUGAUCUCGGCUCAGUGCAACCUCCGCCUCCUGGGUUCAAGCAGUUCUCCUAGAUCAGCAUCAGCGUCCCGAGUAGCUGGGAUUACAGGCACCCGCCACCAUGCCUGGCUAAUGUUGGUCAGGCUGGCUCGAACUCCUGACCUCAAGAGAUCCACCUGCUUUGGCCUCCCAAAGUGCUCGGAUUACAGGCAUGAGCUGCCACACCCAGCCUCCAAAUACUUUUUUUUUAAAUCAAAAUAAUGAUUUCAAUGACUGAGAUCUGUUAUGUAUUUCAACAUAAUCAUGUUUCAUAAAGAUUUAGUCUUCUGAAA
This is a long non-coding RNA of Homo sapiens (human), 4054 nucleotides long. NCBI's taxonomy places the organism in Eukaryota, Metazoa, Chordata, Mammalia, Primates, Hominidae. The record is from Ensembl.